RNAcentral lists this transfer RNA (77 nucleotides) under Aeromonas hydrophila. Its description in RNAcentral is "tRNA-Met(cat)". It matches the Rfam family "tRNA". Rfam says of the family: Transfer RNA (tRNA) molecules are approximately 80 nucleotides in length. Their secondary structure includes four short double-helical elements and three loops (D, anti-codon, and T loops). RNAcentral also lists the same sequence under 73 other names. The record is from RNAcentral. Lineage: Bacteria; Pseudomonadati; Pseudomonadota; Gammaproteobacteria; Aeromonadales; Aeromonadaceae.
GGCCCCUUAGCUCAGUUGGUUAGAGCAGUCGACUCAUAAUCGAUUGGUCGCCCGUUCAAGUCGGGCAGGGGCCACCA